Molecule: long non-coding RNA, 142 nt
Organism: Etheostoma spectabile (orangethroat darter)
Lineage: Eukaryota; Metazoa; Chordata; Actinopteri; Perciformes; Percidae
Exons: 3
Source: RefSeq, a predicted model, not a curated record
UACAAUGGUGACGGAAAUAGACUUGCCACCUUCCUAAACUACAAAGAUGAGCCUGAUGCUUUCAAAAGAUUAGGCACUGGAAAUCGUGUGGCAACUUUUUUGAACUACAUGAGUGAUGUUGAGGCGGGAGGUGCCACGGUCU